AAGCUUGAUGAUGACGAUGUUAUCUCCUACAUCCUUGCAGGACUAGAUGUAGACUAUAAUCCGUUUGUUGCAUCAGUAUCUGCUAAAGAUUAUAUUUCCUUGAGUGAUUUCUAUGCACGGUUUCUCUCCUUUGAGG
This 136-nucleotide small nucleolar RNA is filed under the name Leersia perrieri. Its description in RNAcentral is "snoRNA snoZ247". It matches the Rfam family "Small nucleolar RNA Z247". From Rfam's summary of the family: Z247 is a member of the C/D class of snoRNA which contain the C (UGAUGA) and D (CUGA) box motifs. Most of the members of the box C/D family function in directing site-specific 2'-O-methylation of substrate RNAs. The record is from Rfam by way of RNAcentral. Lineage: Eukaryota; Viridiplantae; Streptophyta; Magnoliopsida; Poales; Poaceae.